GGACUGCAGUCUGCAACUCGACUGCACGAAGUCGGAAUUGCUAGUAAUCGCGGAUCAGAAUGUCGCGGUGAAUACGUUCCCGGGUCUUGUACACACCGCCCGUCACACCAUGGGAGUCGGAAAUGCCCGAAGUCAGUGACCCAACCGUAAGGAGGGAGCUGCCGAAGGUGGAGCCGGUAACUGGGGUGAAGUCGUAACAAGGUAUC
This 206-nucleotide ribosomal RNA is filed under the name uncultured bacterium. RNAcentral's name for it is "partial 16S ribosomal RNA". It matches the Rfam family "Bacterial small subunit ribosomal RNA", at positions 1295 to 1500 of the family's 1533-position model. The record is from RNAcentral.